Actinia tenebrosa (Australian red waratah sea anemone) is the source of this 829-nucleotide long non-coding RNA. The record is from RefSeq and is a predicted model, not a curated record. Lineage: Eukaryota; Metazoa; Cnidaria; Anthozoa; Actiniaria; Actiniidae.
GACUGUACUUCAAUUGUGGAUAUUUUUUACAUGGGUAAUGUUUGGUUUAGAAGGAAACAAAAUAUGGAUUAUUUUGGAACAUACAAAGACGGAAAAGAUCAGAGCAGGAAUGACUCAGUGAACCGCAUUAACUUCGCCAUUUAUCUGAUUUGACAAAUAUAUGAGUCAAAGAUGGAAUUAACAAGGCCGAAGUAAUAAAAAUGCAAAACCCGUGAAUUCAAGAUUCCAAUUCAAUUACGGCAARUGUAUUAUCAUGCAGUAUUAAAAUUAAAACUUGCAAUGCCAAGGAGAAGAUUCCAUUUGCAGAGGAACCCCAGAGGAACCCACAGAGAAGCAAGACUUAACUAAGCGCCAUAGAGUUAGUGAAGGAACGUGGAAUUAAAGAAUGUAAGAGUGGCCAAGGGAAAUGGUUGACGAUGCAAUGGAGUACUGACGCUAACUAAGAUUGACCAACAGAUUUGCUAAGACAAAGACUUUUGCGCGAAGGCCUUAUGGAAAACUUCUAGAUAAAAUUCAGUUUUAGGAAAUAUAUCGAUUAUUUGAUACUGAAAUAUACGUAUACGUAUAUGAAUAUAUACGUCAAUUUUGUUCGAGUCCGCAAUGAAACAGCGGUUUCACAACAAAAAACAACAACUAUAUUAUUCUAUAACGAGGAAGGAUAAAAGACUGGACCGAGAAUGGGCCAGAAUGUAUUAUCUUAACUUGUACAAAACUUCAAGAAUUCAUCAAAGCAAAGGUUAAUUAAAAGAAGAAGAGUAUUCUUGGUUAUAUACAAGAAGACGGUACAGUUAUGCAGAACACAAGUUCUAGUGUUCUAGCAAGGAACACU